This 353-nucleotide long non-coding RNA is filed under the name Nicotiana benthamiana. RNAcentral's name for it is "long non-coding RNA (NBEN_LNC040890)". The record is from RNAcentral. Lineage: Eukaryota; Viridiplantae; Streptophyta; Magnoliopsida; Solanales; Solanaceae.
GGUUUCCAGGGAUGUCAUAUUUCAUGAAUCAUGUUUUCCUUUUAAAACUGUAUCUUCUUCUGUUCAUCCUUCUGCUUUAUCCCUUCCUUUUGUUCCUUCUGGAGAACAUGAUGAUGAUUCUGAUUCUCCCAUCCUCCUCUCAUCUCCUCCUCCUCCUACAUCUGUGCAAGUACCUCCUUAUACUGUCCCUGACUCUAUUGACUCCACCUUCACCCCUUAUUUCAAUCCUGAUAUCUCACCUCUUGUCCUAGCUUCUUCUCCUUUUGUUCCUGCUCCUAGAAAGUCUCAACGACAGCAUAAUCCUCCCACUUAUCUUAAGGAUUAUGUUUGUCAACUACCUGCCUUUUCUGGUU